This is a long non-coding RNA of Mirounga angustirostris (Northern elephant seal), 1382 nucleotides long. RefSeq lists it as uncharacterized. NCBI's taxonomy places the organism in Eukaryota, Metazoa, Chordata, Mammalia, Carnivora, Phocidae. The transcript is spliced from 3 exons. The record is from RefSeq and is a predicted model, not a curated record.
GGGACGGAAGUCCCGCCCCCGGGGCCGGUGGGCCGCGGGGCGGGGAACGCCCCGGCCGCUCGCAGACAGUUUCCGGGAACGCAGUGGAGGAGGCGUGGUGGGCGACGGUUCUGAGGCCUUUUUCCCGGGUCUUGUGCUGAAGGCCCCGGUGCAGACGCCAGGAUAAGAAUCACUGAGCCAAACAAAGAGCUAUGGCAGAGACCAACCUCCAGGAAGUUCAUGAUGAGGAAGAACAACAACAGGAAGGCCGGUGCAAAGAGGAGGCGGUCCAGCAGGAGCCUCUUGAGCCCAGCCAAGGGGACCUCAGAAGGGAUCCAGUGCUCCAUGAAGACGUAGAAGAAGUGACUCAGUGGCCCUGUGAAGAAGAACCUGAGGCCCCACGGUGGGGUGAUCCCUCCACCCAGCGUGGGGCUCGAACUCAAGACCCCAAGAUCAAGAGUUGCAUGCUCCACUGGCUGAGCUAGACAGGCCUUGAGAGGGAACAGAAGUCUUGAAGAUGGAAACUGUGAGUAACACUUCCCAGGGGAUUCUGACACACUCCCUCCCUCCAGGGUGAUUAUGGCUUUAACUACAUUAUGGAAAAGUUGUGAUGACCGCAACCAACAUGCUUACAAAUAUAAAGUGAUAUUUCUGAAUUCUAAAUUGAAAAAAUGACUCUUGUUGCAAAAGACUUCAAAAUAAUCCAUCUAUACAAACACUAUUGUUGGCCUGAGAACUCAGGGAAGACUUAAUUGGUAAAACUGAAUCUCUGUGGUCUUUGCAAUUCCAAAAGUGGUUCAGAAACUGGACACUUUUCAGGAUACCUAAAUAUUUAUUUUCUGGAUGCUUACACUAUGAAAAUAACGGAAACAACUGACCAUAUUUGAGUCUGUUUUCCUCUUUCAUGGUCUUUGUGUCUUGAAGGCUAACUUAGGUUUAGGUGAAUUAUCUGCCCUCAGAUCUCUCAGCCCAAUGAAGACAGCCACCCCCACCCGAGCAAUUCAAAAGGAAAACCAUAAAACAAGUUCACAUUAUCCACCAUUCUGAUUUUUUCCCAUGAUUACUUCAAUGCUUUUUUAAAAAUUAUUUCUCCAGGGGCGCCUGGGUGGCUCAGUCAUUAGGCGUCUGCCUUCGGCUCAGGUCAUGAUCCCGGGGUCCUGGGAUCGAGCCCCGCAUUGGACUCCCUGCUACGAGGGAAGCCUGCUUCUCCCUCUCCCACUCCCCCUGCUUGUGUUCCCUCUCUCGCUGUGUCUCUCCCUCUGUCAAAUAAAUAAAAUCUUUAAAAAAAAUUAUUUCUCCAAAUUAGGAAUUCUGAAAUAUCAGAAACUUGGUCUCACACCCUCGCUUUGUUGCAAUCAGUCUGCUACUGGGUAGACCAGCCCCUUGAUGGAACUCACCCAUAA